UUUUAAAAAAUAUAAUAGUAAUAUUUUGGCCCAAAAUCAACUAUUAAGAUUUGGCCAAAAUGUAACCUCUCCCCCAGAGCAGGGCUAACGUCUCUGCCGCAGAGUAGGGCUGUGCAUGCACACUACCUCCAGUGUUGUUGUUGUCGUCGUCCUCUCUUUGGUAUUUUACUUUCUGCCCUAUGAGGCUUCCUAAAAGAUGCAGAUAAAAUAAGAGUUGAGCUAAUGUUUGCUGGUCAUAGUACCUCUUACGUGAUGAGUGGCUGGUUCAGAUUAGAAAUAAGCACACUACAUGAUAAUGAAUAAGCUGGUUGGUAUCAAGGUUUUUCGUGGAUCUCAAAUGCGACUCAGAUUCUUUUUACAAGAUUUAAGAUGAUUUGAGAUCUUUUGCUUAUUGGAUUGCAGAAUCAUACUUACAUAGGUAAUUUCUUGUCCAAUUUGACUUUACCCCUCUGUUUGAAGACCUGCAUUGUUAACCCACUGGAUCAUUAAUUUUCUACCUUUUCUGUUGGAAUGACAAAGGGAUCAUGCAUGACAUUAACUUCUAAUACUGUUAAAUACCUUCAUUCUCCACCAGAAGCUAGAGGAAAAAUAUAUGUUUGGUAGUGGUGCAUCCGUUAUUUAGAAAUCCUAGAUCCGCCACUGUCUAUUAUCUGUGGUCCAGCAAAAUCUGUUUUACAAGGAUCUCCCACAUGGGAAAAUAACUCAAGAUGUCAUGUUUUGGGGUAUGACCAAUUCUUCUGACCUAACAUCUCCGCAAAAAGUCAAUUCUCCAUUCAAUAGAUCUUUUGUCAGCUGGAAUUUUGUUCCCCUUCUCCCGUGUCUGCAAUGGUUCUGUGUGGCCCAUUCCUUCAUGGCAGCAGCCCAGUCUGCACCAUUGUAUUUUCACUUUGUGGGAAGAUUUUGCUGAAACUGAUGGAAAUGAGCUAGCUACACAAGUUGACAAACAUCCAGUAAUCCUAGCAAAACGAAUUGCACGGUCUUCUUAUGCUGGAACAUCGUUGACAACAAGAUAUAAUUAUGCAAUAUUGGUAAAUCCAUUCUAUCCACAGGCUGCAGAAUUGAUGAAUUGGGUGAAAGAUAAUGAAGAAACGUUGAGCAUAUAUACACAGUAGUUCUGCAGAGACAGCUUCAUCGCCUCUUCUUGUAUCGCUACAUGAUGAGGCUGUACCUAUUGCAAAUAUUCAGUCACAACCAGCGAUGCAAUCUUUUCAUGUGGAAGGUAAAAUGUCGCUGCUAGAUGAUGAGCAGCGGUUUUACGAGUUAAUGUAUUCAAAAUGCAAGCAAUUUGUUAGAACUUCCAUAAUAAAAGUUGUCGACUGUUGAAUUGCGAUCAACAUGCGAUGUUAACACCCAGGUGCCGAUUUCAAGUUGAAAUUGCAGAUAUAAGUGGAUCGACAAUUACAACAAUAUUAGGUGAAUCUGUAGAAAGUCUCCUUUCAAUGAAAGCUGAACAGAUCUAUGAAAUAACUAAGAUAAAGAAUGAAUUGAUGCCUCUUCAACCUAUUCGGCAACGUCUUACUGACAAAGUGUUCAAAGUACAACUAAAGAAAUCAUUUUCCAGGACGUCGGAUGAAACACCAGCAAAGCUAUUCAUUCUGUCGUAUGUUGAAAAGCAAGAUACUCUCCAAUUGCCAGCACCAUCAACUUUUACAAAUGCUGGAGAAAGCAGCAAAAGAGAGCUUGGCAAUCUGUCAUCCCCGCAGGAACAAAAAGAACUGAUCACAGAAGCUACAUCAUCUAGCAAAAGACAACAGACUGAGCGGACAACUCCAACUAGAAAAAAUGCUUCUUCUAGCAUAAAGCAAAAUAUUUAGCCAGUCACUCCUGCAAAGAAAAAGUGAAGGUGGAGACUUAAAUCUUUUGAUCUUUGUACAUAUUAGCUCUUCAGUUUACUGACUAUGUGGCCUACUUGUACAUAUGUCUUUUGAUGACUUGUACAUACACUACUUUUGAUGGCGGCGCAGAUGGUUAUGGAUCAAGGGUACAACUCGGAGAAUAUACAGGACUACACAUGCUUUGGUUUGAACUUUAGUUUUGUCCCUUGUGUACACGUGUUUUAGACAAACAUUACAACUUGGGAGUCCUGUAAGUCUGUAACUAAAGAUCAAACUGCUUGCUGAAAAAAUGCAAUAGUAGAUCUAAACUACCUUUUUGGUUUGAAUUUACUUGUGCUCUCUGGUUUGCUCUA
Nicotiana tabacum (common tobacco) is the source of this 2188-nucleotide RNA transcript. RefSeq lists it as uncharacterized. The record is from RefSeq and is a predicted model, not a curated record. Lineage: Eukaryota; Viridiplantae; Streptophyta; Magnoliopsida; Solanales; Solanaceae.